UACAGAGGUCUCAAGCGUUGUUCGGAUUCAUUGGGCGUAAAGGGUGCGUAGGCGGCGCGGUAAGUCGGGUGUGAAAUCUCGGGGCUUAACUCCGAAACUGCAUUCGAUACUGCCGUGCUUGAGGACUGGAGAGGAGACUGGAAUUUACGGUGUAGCAGUGAAAUGCGUAGAUAUCGUAAGGAAGACCAGUGGCGAAGGCGAGUCUCUGGACAGUUACUGACACUGAGGCACGAAGGCCAGGGGAGCAAACGGG
Molecule: ribosomal RNA, 253 nt
Filed under: uncultured bacterium
Lineage: Bacteria
Description: partial 16S ribosomal RNA
Rfam family: Bacterial small subunit ribosomal RNA
Source: RNAcentral